Molecule: long non-coding RNA, 1216 nt
Organism: Patella vulgata (common limpet)
Lineage: Eukaryota; Metazoa; Mollusca; Gastropoda; Patellidae
Exons: 3
Source: RefSeq, a predicted model, not a curated record
GUUUUACACACCACAUCUUAUUGUAUAAUUUGGAGUUGGCGUGCAUUGUUCAUCCAUUGCUAUCCAGUGAAAGGGUAAAUUUGAAGUUUGACAUAUAAGCUAACUAUCUUAAGAUGAAAGUUUUUGUGAUGGUGGUAAUUUUAGCGUUGUUUGUAACAUGUCUAUGUACGACAAGAAGAAAUUGGAGGGUUUAUUUAAGGAAGAGACCGCGAAUACCUGUUUCAAAAUACACCGAACUGCACAGACAUCGGGUCCAACAGGAUACACUAAAUGAAUUUGUAAAACAACUGAUUUAUUGGAAGGAUUUAGACUAAAGCAUAAAAAUUUGAUUUUGUCAAGACACAAGCCUGUGAACUAAUGGUCGAUACAGGUUUCGUAAGAUAUAAUAAAUGGUUAAAAUUCUCCUAGUAUGUAAUUUAAAAAGAAUUGAAAUGAUUGUUAUGUAUCAAUUCUAAUAAAUAUUAUGUACCCAAUUUAUUAACUAUUCGGUACCAAUUCUAAUAACUAUUAUGUACCAAAUUUAAUAACUAUUCAGUACCAAUUCUAUUAACUAUUAUGGUCCAAAUUUAAUGACUAUUACAUACCAAUUCUAAUGACUAUUACGUUCGAAUUCUAAUGACUAUUAUGAACCAAUUCUAAUAACUAGUGUGUACAUAUUUUAAUAAGUAUUAUGUACCAAAUCUAAUGAUUAUUAUGUUCCAAUUCUAAUAACCAUUAUGUACCAAAUCUAAGGACUAAUAUGUACCAAAUCUAAGGACUAAUAUGUACCAAUUCUAAUAACUAUUGUGUACCAAAUCUAAUGAUUAUUAUGUACCAAUUCUGAUAACCAUUAUGUACCAAAUCUAAUGAUUAUUAUGCACCAAUUCUAAUAACUAUUCUGUACCAAAUCUAAUGAUUAUUACGUACCAAUUCUGAUAACCAUUAUGUACCAAAUCUAUUGAUUAUUAUGAUUGUAUCAAUUCUAAUAACUAUUAUACAGCAAUUCUAAUAACUAUUAUGUACCAAUUCUAAUUACUAUAAUGAUUAAUAUGUACCAAUUUUAUUAUUACUAUUACAUACCAAUGACUGUAUGUAUUCAAUCUGAUGUACCAAAUCUAAUGCCCUUUAUGUACCAACUAUAAUGACCAUUAUGUACCAAAAAUGUGUAUGUAAAUAAACAGAAUAUUACAAACAUUUAAUUUCUUAUUUCUUAUACGUUUUAUUAUUUUGAUUAAAG